GCUGUUCUCAUGAUAGUGAAUAAGUCUCAAAAGAUCUGAUGCUUUUAUAAGAGGGCAGUUCCCCUGCACAGGCCCUCUUGCCUGUUGCCAUGUAAGACAUGCCUUUGCUCUUCCUUCAUCUUCUGCUGUGAUCAUGAGGCCUCCUCAGCCAUGUGAGGCAAUCACUUCUGAAGAGUCCAGCCUUGGAAUGAUACUAGAAUUCUGGAAGAAGAAUCUUGUCUCAAGGCAUCUGAAAGUUUCAGUGGUGUAUUUUUCUUCUUAACUGCAGAGCUUUGACUUUCUGGAACAAAAGAGGAAGAGGAGUUGUGGCAAAGACUGGAACUAACCCUUAACCUAGAAGAGAAACUGGUCAGACAUGGAUGGAUGGAUUUGGUUCAGCCCUGUUCAGACUUGCUACUCAUUGCAUCAAUGUUCCCGUUCAAUCCGUCAGACGCACCCAUGUCCCUUCUGUAGAAAUCAGUGAAUCAUAUUGAAUCCUGAGUAAGCGAUCGUGAGCUUUACCAUUUUAAGCUCUAUCUAUUGCUUCUGUCUCUUACUGCCUUUUCUGUCUUGCCUGCCUGUUUGCUGUCACCCUCACAUCAAUGUCUGUCAAGCAUUUGAAUAGGGAAGUAGGUUGAGAAGGGGAUUUGGAAUGAGGAGUUACUUUGAAAAUAAUUGGGCUAAAAUUAAGGAGACCUUAUUUGGUUCUGGUCCUCGUUGCUUUUAUUAAUCUAAAUAAUAAGCACUCUGAAAGAAAAUGAUAUUUAUUUAGCAUGGGUACUGCAAUGGGAAUACACAUACCGUAGUAAACUAUGUGCUUAUUCAGGAGGGUAAAGAAAGGCAAUGGUUUUUAAAGAAAAAUGAAGAGGAGUACACAAUUAUUUCGAGAUAAUUAUUCCUGGUUACAAGGAUCAAUAAUAAGGAUGGCACCAGUUUGAAGUCAGAUAGGCAGUUGCUGGGCAGAUAUCCUUGCAGAAGUAUUUUUUUUUGUGCAAGGUUGCAAUGGCCUUUGUGCAAGGUUGUGGUUUUGCAGUCUUUUCUGACAAUUCCUGUUGUCAGGCAUUCGUGAAUGGGAACCCUUUCUUCAUUGCUUUCCCGAGCUCCAUCUGUCAGGAUUUUUAACACAAUUGCCUCCAUUUUAAUUCUGACAAUUUUCACGUUUUUAACUAGCUCCUUGACCUUGAAUGAAUUCCAUUAUGUUUCUGGAUAUAAUUUAUAAAAUUAUUAAAUUGCAAUAAAUAGUGUUAUUGAGUUUUUAUCAGUCUCAUACUUUAUGAUUUUUACAUAAAUUGGUUAUUUUUUGGAAAACAG
Molecule: long non-coding RNA, 1290 nt
Filed under: Homo sapiens (human)
Lineage: Eukaryota; Metazoa; Chordata; Mammalia; Primates; Hominidae
Description: HSALNT0315437
Source: RNAcentral